ACGAACGCUGGCGGCGUGCUUAACACAUGCAAGUCGAACGUGAUUUUUGUGGAAAUUCUUUCGGGAAUGGAAAUGAAAUGAAAGUGGCGAACGGGUGAGUAACACGUGAGCAACCUACCUUACACAGGGGGAUAGCCGUUGGAAACGACGAUUAAUACCGCAUGAGACCACAGAAUCGCAUGAUAUAGGGGUCAAAGAUUUAUCGGUGUAAGAAGGGCUCGCGUCUGAUUAGCUAGUUGGAAGGGUAAAGGCCUACCAAGGCGACGAUCAGUAGCCGGUCUGAGAGGAUGAACGGCCACAUUGGAACUGAGACACGGUCCAAACUCCUACGGGAGGCAGCAGUGGGGAAUAUUGCACAAUGGGGGGAACCCUGAUGCAGCGACGCCGCGUGAGCGAAGAAGGUUUUCGAAUCGUAAAGCUCUGUCCUAUGAGAAGAUAAUGACGGUAUCAUAGGAGGAAGCCCCGGCUAAAUACGUGCCAGCAGCCGCGGUAAUACGUAUGGGGCGAGCGUUGUCCGGAAUUAUUGGGCGUAAAGGGUACGUAGGCGGCCUUUUAAGUCAGGUGUGAAAGCGUGAGGCUUAACCUCAUUAAGCACUUGAAACUGGAAGGCUUGAGUGAAGGAGAGGAAAGUGGAAUUCCUAGUGUAGCGGUGAAAUGCGUAGAUAUUAGGAGGAAUACCGGUGGCGAAGGCGACUUUCUGGACUUUUACUGACGCUCAGGUACGAAAGCGUGGGGAGCAAACAGG
RNAcentral lists this ribosomal RNA (745 nucleotides) under uncultured Clostridium sp. RNAcentral's name for it is "bacterial SSU rRNA". It matches the Rfam family "Bacterial small subunit ribosomal RNA", at positions 29 to 776 of the family's 1533-position model. Lineage: Bacteria; Bacillati; Bacillota; Clostridia; Eubacteriales; Clostridiaceae. The record is from RNAcentral.